Molecule: ribosomal RNA, 252 nt
Filed under: uncultured bacterium
Lineage: Bacteria
Description: partial 16S ribosomal RNA
Rfam family: Bacterial small subunit ribosomal RNA
Source: RNAcentral
ACGAACUGUGCAAACGUUAUUCGGAAUCACUGGGCUUAAAGGGUGCGUAGGCGGCAGUGUAGGUCAGAUGUGAAAGCCCACGGCUCAACCGUGGAAUUGCGUUUGAAACCACACAGCUUGAGGGAGAUAGAGGAGAGCGGAACUGUUGGUGGAGCGGUGAAAUGCGUUGAUAUUAACAGGAACACCGGUGGCGAAAGCGGCUCUCUGGAUCUUUUCUGACGCUGAGGCACGAAAGCUAGGGGAGCGAACGGG